Molecule: long non-coding RNA, 265 nt
Filed under: Vigna radiata
Lineage: Eukaryota; Viridiplantae; Streptophyta; Magnoliopsida; Fabales; Fabaceae
Description: long non-coding RNA (VRAD_LNC008940)
Source: RNAcentral
CUUGAUAAACAAAUCUUCCCUAGGAAACAAAACAAAAAUAGGCCAAUUAGUAUUUUCCUUUAAUGACAAAUCAGGAUGUUCUCUUCUUUUUCUUUCUUUUUCUUCUUUCUCUUCUCUCUCUUUCUUUUCUUUCUCCUCUCUGACUUUUUUUUCUUUCUCUGUUUUUUCUCUAUUUUCUCUUUCUUCACACUCUCUCCUUUUCUUUUCUCUUCUUUUUUCUAUCUUUUCUCUUUCUUCAUACUCUAUCUUUUCUUUUUCUUCUUUU